UUCCCUGCGUAGUGCGUAAAGACUGGAAUUUUAGAACCAACAAACGUUAAACGGGAGUCCGCCUUUGGAUGUGGCGUGUAAGCUUACCAACAGAAUUGUAAGAAACCCAGGAGCAUCCAACAAGACACCCACCUGUGAAAGCAGGUCCUUAAAAUUUCUUUCACUAGAACGGCUAAUGCGGGGCUU
This 186-nucleotide non-coding RNA is filed under the name chicken gut metagenome. RNAcentral describes it as "6S / SsrS RNA". It matches the Rfam family "6S / SsrS RNA". From Rfam's summary of the family: E. coli 6S RNA was the first non coding RNA to be sequenced, but its function was unknown until recently. It consists of 184 nucleotides that fold into an extended hairpin structure with a large single-stranded internal bulge. The record is from RNAcentral.